GACGAACGCUGGCGGCGUGCCUAAUACAUGCAAGUAGAACGCUGAAGGAGGAGCUUGCUUCUCCGGAUGAGUUGCGAACGGGUGAGUAACGCGUAGGUAACCUGCCUGGUAGCGGGGGAUAACUAUUGGAAACGAUAGCUAAUACCGCAUAACAGUAGAUGUUGCAUGACAUUUGCUUAAAAGGUGCAAUUGCAUCACUACCAGAUGGACCUGCGUUGUAUUAGCUAGUUGGUGAGGUAACGGCUCACCAAGGCGACGAUACAUAGCCGACCUGAGAGGGUGAUCGGCCACACUGGGACUGAGACACGGCCCAGACUCCUACGGGAGGCAGCAGUAGGGAAUCUUCGGCAAUGGACGGAAGUCUGACCGAGCAACGCCGCGUGAGUGAAGAAGGUUUUCGGAUCGUAAAGCUCUGUCGUAAGAGAAGAACGAGUGUGAGAGUGGAAAGUUCACACUGUGACGGUAUCUGACCAGAAAGGGACGGCUAACUACGUG
RNAcentral lists this ribosomal RNA (495 nucleotides) under uncultured bacterium. RNAcentral describes it as "partial 16S ribosomal RNA". It matches the Rfam family "Bacterial small subunit ribosomal RNA", at positions 28 to 507 of the family's 1533-position model. The record is from RNAcentral.